AGUGCAGAGUGACACAGACAGGCGACAGCAUCGCUGAGCACUAACUUCUAUUCCACGGAGGCAGACAGCGAAAACCAUUUCAGAACCACGCCAAGGCAUGAGAGAAGCACAGGGUAGCUGCAAAGUUUUGGACAAGACCUCUGCAACAACUGGAAGCACAGUGUACCCAAGUGGCCAGGAGCAGUGGCUCACACCUGUAAUCCCAACACACUGGAAAGCCGAAGUGGGCAGUUCACUUGAGCCCAAAUGCUAGAGACCAGCCUGGGCAACAUGGAGAAACCCCGUCUCUACCAAAAAUGACACACACAAAAAUUAGCAGGGCGUGGUGGUGAACACCUGUAGUCCUAGCUACUGGGAAGGCUGAAGUGGGAGGAUGGCUUCAGCCAGGAAGGUGGAGGUUACAGUGAGCCAUGAUCACACCACUGCCCUCCAGACUCGGGGACUGAGCAAGACUCUUCAAAAAUACAUAUAUUUCUCCAAAAGUGAGUAAUUAAAGAAUUUUCAAUGUUUGCAAAGUUUAAAAGCCUAGUAUGAAUGCAAAAUCUAGGUAAUAGAAAUUUUGCAUGGGAAUUAUCAUUUCUCAGCACUUUCUUAAUAUUCCUCAAAUGCAAUUUAAAAGCAAUAGGCAACAACUGGCAUAUCCCUUCAAAUGCUAAGAUAUUUAUGUUUCCAGAAUGUAUUGUCUAAAAAUUUGAGAGACUGUGUGAGUCUGAUAAGCUGGGCUGUAUCCCAUUCUGGAAUAUCAAUGUACAUAUUGCAGUGAAAAACUUAUUGAAAUAAUGAAAUUGGCUCUCAAACAGAUUUCCAUGAUUUGGAAUCCAACAUUUACUUUUAUCAUCUUCAAUGAAAGAAAUUGCACCAAUGAUAUUUUAGUCUUGAUGAUGUUGGGAGCCCCUGCAUAAAUAAAGCACUUGCACAAUUAAAAUGGAGGCUUUAUUUUUAUUUAUUAUUAUUUUUGGGACAGAGUCUCGCUCUUGUUGCCCAGGCUGGAGUGCAAUGGCACCAUCUUUGCUCACUGCAACCUCCGCCUUCCGGGUUCAAGAGAUUCUCCUGUCUCAGUCUGCCAAGUAGCUGAGAUUACAGGCAUGCGCCACCACGCCAGGCUAAUUUUUGUAUUUUCAGUAGAGGUGGGUUUUCCCCAUGUUGGCUAGGCUGAUCUCGAGCGCCUGCAUCAAGUGAUCCGUCCGCCUCGGCCUUCCAAAAGUGCUGGGAUUCCAGGCGUAAGCCACCGCGCCCGGCGGAAAGUUUUAUUUUUAAAGGUGUUAGAAUGAUUGGUUUUUAAUCAGAGACUACUCACGAAGUUGGCCGAAAUAUUACUCUGAAACCUUUUUUUUUUUUUAAAUGCAUCAGAAUCCGAGGCUUUUGGCAGGGCACAGUGGCUCACGCCUGUAUCCCAGCACUUUUGGAGGCUGAGGUGGGCAGCUGCUCGGAAAGCUAAGGCAGGAGAAUCUCUUGAACCUGGGAGGCAGAGGUUGCAGUGAACCGAGAUCACGCCACUGCACUCCAGCCUAGCGACAGAGCUAGACUCCGUUUCAAAAAAAAUAAAAAUAAAAA
Molecule: long non-coding RNA, 1554 nt
Organism: Macaca mulatta (Rhesus monkey)
Lineage: Eukaryota; Metazoa; Chordata; Mammalia; Primates; Cercopithecidae
Source: Ensembl